GGCGGCGUGCUUAACACAUGCAAGUCGAACGCGAACGUUUCCUUCGGGAAACUAGUAGAGUGGCGCACGGGUGAGUAACGCGUAAGUAAUCUACCCUCGCAUCUGGGAUAACCCACCGAAAGGUGUGCUAAUACCUGAUACGUCUGGAAUUAUACUUUGAAUCCAGAGAAAGGUGGCCUCUUCAUGAAAGCUACUGUGCGGGGAGGAGCUUGCGUACCAUUAGCUAGUUGGUAGGGUAACGGCCUACCAAGGCGAUGAUGGUUAGCGGGUCUGAGAGGAUGAUCCGCCACACUGGAACUGAAACACGGACCAGACUCCUACGGGAGGCAGCAGUGAGGAAUAUUGCGCAAUGGGGCAACCCUGACGCAGCGACGCCGCGUGGAUGAUGAAGGCCUUCGGGUUGUAAAAUCCUGUCAGAUGGGAAGAAGUGCAUCAUGUUUAACACAUGUGGUGUUUGACGGUACCAUCAAAGGAAGCACCGGCUAACUCCGUG
RNAcentral lists this ribosomal RNA (493 nucleotides) under uncultured bacterium. RNAcentral describes it as "bacterial SSU rRNA". It matches the Rfam family "Bacterial small subunit ribosomal RNA", at positions 38 to 507 of the family's 1533-position model. The record is from RNAcentral.